GAUGAACCGCUGGCGGUCUGCUUAACACAUGCAAGUCGAACGAACUCUUCGGAGUGAGUGGCGGACGGGUGAGUAACGCGUGAGAAUCUGCCUGUGGGUCGGGGACAACCACUGGAAACGGUGGCUAAUACCGGAUGAGCCGAAAGGUAAAAAAUUUAUUGCCCACAGAUGAGCUCGCGUCUGAUUAGCUAGUUGGUAAGGUAAAAGCGUACCAAGGCGACGAUCAGUAGCUGGUCUGAGAGGAUGAGCAGCCACACUGGGACUGAGACACGGCCCAGACUCCUACGGGAGGCAGCAGUGGGGAAUUUUCCGCAAUGGGCGAAAGCCUGACGGAGCAAGACCGCGUGGGGGAGGAAGGUUUUUGGAUCGUAAACCCCUUUUGUCAAGGAAGAAGUUCUGACGGUACUUGACGGAUAAGCCUCGGCUAACUCCGUGCCAGCAGCCGCGGUAAUACGGAGGAGGCAAGCGUUAUCCGGAAUGAUUGGGCGUAAAGCGUCUGUAGGUGGCCAGCUAAGUCUGCUGUUAAAGAUCACAGCUCAACUGUGGGAAGGCAGUGGAAACUGGCAAGCUAGAGGCUGGUAGGGGUAAAGGGAAUUCCCGGUGUAGCGAUGAAAUGCGUAGAUAUCGGGAAGAACACCGGUGGCGAAAGCGCUUUACUGGGCCAGACCUGACACUGAAGGACGAAAGCUAGGGGAGCGAAAGGGAUUA
This 708-nucleotide ribosomal RNA is filed under the name uncultured cyanobacterium. RNAcentral describes it as "bacterial SSU rRNA". It matches the Rfam family "Bacterial small subunit ribosomal RNA", at positions 28 to 780 of the family's 1533-position model. The record is from RNAcentral. Lineage: Bacteria; Bacillati; Cyanobacteriota.